Molecule: long non-coding RNA, 340 nt
Organism: Sycon ciliatum
Lineage: Eukaryota; Metazoa; Porifera; Calcarea; Leucosolenida; Sycettidae
Exons: 3
Source: RefSeq, a predicted model, not a curated record
GCGGCAUCAUUUCCCCUAGCACACUAGAACCAACCACCGAGAUAGCCAAUGAUUACAGUGCGCAAAACAUUCUCUGCAUAACCGGUGAAGGUAUAAAAGGCGAACUUUUCCAGUUCUUGUCAGACUUGCUCGUCUAUGAUCUCAGUGAAGUCUGCGCGCACAUUGCUGCCUACGCGUGAAACCUCAGGGAAAACCAAUAAGAAGCGCAUGAUGAUGAUGUCACCACGUAUCGGUCUCGUGGUGCUGUUGUUGGUGGUGGUCUUGGCAACAACAUUGCAAGCAGCUCCAGUGAAAGUGGACAGGUCCAAUGUUGAUCUCAGCCUCAGCAGACUCAGGCAUG